Molecule: ribosomal RNA, 373 nt
Filed under: Klebsiella pneumoniae subsp. pneumoniae
Lineage: Bacteria; Pseudomonadati; Pseudomonadota; Gammaproteobacteria; Enterobacterales; Enterobacteriaceae
Description: bacterial LSU rRNA
Rfam family: Bacterial large subunit ribosomal RNA
Source: RNAcentral
GGUAUGGCUGUUCGCCAUUUAAAGUGGUACGCGAGCUGGGUUUAGAACGUCGUGAGACAGUUCGGUCCCUAUCUGCCGUGGGCGCUGGAGAAUUGAGGGGGGCUGCUCCUAGUACGAGAGGACCGGAGUGGACGCAUCACUGGUGUUCGGGUUGUCAUGCCAAUGGCACUGCCCGGUAGCUAAAUGCGGAAGAGAUAAGUGCUGAAAGCAUCUAAGCACGAAACUUGCCCCGAGAUGAGUUCUCCCUGAGACUAUAAGUCUCCUGAAGGAACGUUAAAGACGAUGACGUUGAUAGGCCGGGUGUGUAAGCGCAGCGAUGCGUUGAGCUAACCGGUACUAAUGAACCGUGAGGCUUAACCUUACAACGCCGAAG